GGGGCUAAACCAUGCACCGAAGCUGCGGCAGCGACGCUGAUGCGUUGUUGGGUAGGGGAGCGUUCUGUAAGCCUGCGAAGGUGGCCUGUGAGGGUUGCUGGAGGUAUCAGAAGUGCGAAUGCUGACAUAAGUAACGAUAAAGCGGGUGAAAAGCCCGCUCGCCGGAAGACCAAGGGUUCCUGUCCAACGUUAAUCGGGGCAGGGUGAGUCGACCCCUAAGGCGAGGCCGAAAGGCGUAGUCGAUGGGAAACGGGUUAAUAUUCCCGUACUUGGUGUUACUGCGAAGGGGGGACGGAGAAGGCUAUGUUGGCCGGGCGACGGUUGUCCCGGUUUAAGCGUGUAGGUGUGUGUUCCAGGUAAAUCCGGUUCACUUUAACACUGAGGCGUGAUGACGAGGCACUACGGUGCUGAAGCAACAAAUGCCCUGCUUCCAGGAAAAGCCUCUAAGCAUCAGGUAACAUCAAAUCGUACCCCAAACCGACACAGGUGGUCAGGUAGAGAAUACCAAGGCGCUUGAGAGAACUCGGGUGAAGGAACUAGGCAAAAUGGUGCCGUAACUUCGGGAGAAGGCACGCUGACACGUAGGUGAAGUGAUUUACUCAUGGAGCUGAAGUCAGUCGAAGAUACCAGCUGGCUGCAACUGUUUAUUAAAAACACAGCACUGUGCAAACACGAAAGUGGACGUAUACGGUGUGACGCCUGCCCGGUGCCGGAAGGUUAAUUGAUGGGGUCAGCGCAAGCGAAGCUCCUGAUCGAAGCCCCGGUAAACGGCGGCCGUAACUAUAACGGUCCUAAGGUAGCGAAAUUCCUUGUCGGGUAAGUUCCGACCUGCACGAAUGGCGUAAUGAUGGCCAGGCUGUCUCCACCCGAGACUCAGUGAAAUUGAACUCGCUGUGAAGAUGCAGUGUACCCGCGGCAAGACGGAAAGACCCCGUGAACCUUUACUAUAGCUUGACACUGAACAUUGAGCCUUGAUGUGUAGGAUAGGUGGGAGGCUUUGAAGUGUGGACGCCAGUCUGCAUGGAGCCGGCCUUGAAAUACCACCCUUUAAUGUUUGAUGUUCUAACGUGGACCCGUGAUCCGGGUUGCGGACAGUGUCUGGUGGGUAGUUUGACUGGGGCGGUCUCCUCCUAAAGAGUAACGGAGGAGCACGAAGGUUGGCUAAUCCUGGUCGGACAUCAGGAGGUUAGUGCAAUGGCAUAAGCCAGCUUGACUGCGAGCGUGACGGCGCGAGCAGGUGCGAAAGCAGGUCAUAGUGAUCCGGUGGUUCUGAAUGGAAGGGCCAUCGCUCAACGGAUAAAAGGUACUCCGGGGAUAACAGGCUGAUACCGCCCAAGAGUUCAUAUCGACGGCGGUGUUUGGCACCUCGAUGUCGGCUCAUCACAUCCUGGGGCUGAAGUAGGUCCCAAGGGUAUGGCUGUUCGCCAUUUAAAGUGGUACGCGAGCUGGGUUUAGAACGUCGUGAGACAGUUCGGUCCCUAUCUGCCGUGGGCGCUGGAGAACUGAGGGGGGCUGCUCCUAGUACGAGAGGACCGGAGUGGACGCAUCACUGGUGUUCGGGUUGUCAUGCCAAUGGCACUGCCCGGUAGCUAAAUGCGGAAGAGAUAAGUGCUGAAAGCAUCUAAGCACGAAACUUGCCCCGAGAUGAGUUCUCCCUGAGACUUAGAGUCUCCUGAAGGAACGUUGAAGACGACGACGUUGAUAGGCCGGGUGUGUAAGCGCAGCGAUGCGUUGAGCUAACCGGUACUAAUGAACCGUGAGGCUUAACCUUACA
RNAcentral lists this ribosomal RNA (1774 nucleotides) under Salmonella enterica. Its description in RNAcentral is "partial 23S ribosomal RNA". It matches the Rfam family "Bacterial large subunit ribosomal RNA", at positions 1177 to 2925 of the family's 2925-position model. Lineage: Bacteria; Pseudomonadati; Pseudomonadota; Gammaproteobacteria; Enterobacterales; Enterobacteriaceae. The record is from RNAcentral.